RNAcentral lists this long non-coding RNA (718 nucleotides) under Nicotiana benthamiana. Its description in RNAcentral is "long non-coding RNA (NBEN_LNC027362)". The record is from RNAcentral. Lineage: Eukaryota; Viridiplantae; Streptophyta; Magnoliopsida; Solanales; Solanaceae.
UUAAUUGAUAGAAAAAUCAAGAAGAAACGGGACUGAACAUUUUGAAAACCUGAAGAAUUGAGAGCUGAAAAUCAAAAAAAAAAUUGCUUAUACAAAUUUUUUCAGAUAUCACUGUUUGAUUGAAUGGUUUUCUCAGUUUUCCUGAAUUUCUUUAGCUGUUAAAACACCAUUCUAAUUCAUCUGGGGUAUAAAUGGAUUAGACUUGGAUUUUAAGAAGUUUGAUUUUGGUUAUUGUUCGAUUGAAGCUGGUUAGGACUGUUGAAUCUUAUUUUCCUAUUUAAAAGCUGAAGCUGGCAUCAUAUUUUGGGUUGUUUUGAUGUUGCUUACUGUUGGUCUGCUCAUAUCUCCUUUUUUUGUCUUCCAGGUAUUUGUCAAUUCCGUGGACACCACUUAAAUGUAGUUUGAAGCUUGAAUCUCAAAUAUGAACAAACUGGAUAAUGGUUGCUGUUGAAUUCUCACUUUUGUCUUUUUCAAUUUAUCGCAUAAUGUGUAUUAUUUAGUUUGGAAGUAGCUUUGUCGAGUGUGUUUGUAGUUUGAAUAGAACAUGAUUAUGUUUGUAAUCAUCCUAUUGUUAUGUGUACCUGCUGAGUUCUUUACUUAUGAUAUAUGUAUCUUGGGACGUUUGUUUGGACUGUGAGCCUAUUGAGAUUUGCCUUGUUUUUUGCACUGGUUAUGAAGCAAAUCUGUACAGUUUUGAGUAUAAAACCCUGUGUUGUUG